Molecule: non-coding RNA, 2301 nt
Organism: Lolium perenne
Lineage: Eukaryota; Viridiplantae; Streptophyta; Magnoliopsida; Poales; Poaceae
Source: RefSeq, a predicted model, not a curated record
AAUAGCUUCGUUAUGCAUUCCAGGGUUGAGGUCUGUGAAUGGACUUCUCGAUUCAUAGAUAGCUAGUGUAUGCUUCUCCUGGUCCUGGGUUAUGGAUUACUGCAUUGCUUUGAACCUGCUUUUAGAGUCCUCAGGCCCCAACAGUGUGGUUAUUGGCAUGUUUCAAUUUUUUUUUUUAAGGCUAACCACCUGGAGCUCUGACUAUUCACUCAACAUGAAAGUAAUUGAUCCAUUUUAUAUGUAGUUCAGGUCUGAUUGUACAUUUUUUGGAUAUUUAUUGAGCUUUAGAAGAUAUUGCUACUUUGUCGAUAUCAUUAUAUUGUCACCCUAUUCACCAAUUAGGGUCCUCUUGGUGGAUGCUGCUACUUAUUCUCGAUGCGUUAGACUAUAAUUAUGUGUUUAAUUUGUUUGAGCAUGCUCUUUAAGCACCAUCUUGAUCUUUCAGUUCUAAUUAAUUCACUCACUAUAUGCUUCAUUGUGGGAUCUUUAGGCUUUUACAUUUUACUAGAAACUUCAUUGUCACUUGAGUGUGCCCCAGCAAGUACGUGUUUCAGUAAGCUAGCUAGCUUCCACACUAAGCUUCAGUUAGUACAUGAUCAUCCACAUGUUGCGUGCUUGGUAAGGAAAAUAGUUUGUUUAUUAAAUACUCAGCUGCUAACUAAUUUGCUAAUGCUCGUGGUAACUGUAUCUGGAGUGCUAGCUGUAUAUCUUAUUAGCUCAAUUUUUUAGUAAGGAAUAAUUUAUAUAUUCUAGUUACAUAUUAUAGCAGCUAUACGGUGAAGAUGGAGAUUAGGAACUAGUCCUUUUUUUUUACUGUUGAACAGGCUUUCUGUACAUUAAUCAUCAAUAUUAUGUUUCUUUUGUCUUUCUGAUUUAUUUCGUUCCUUGCAACCAACUCUGCAGAUUCAGAUUCAGGUUCAGAAGUCGGUCCUGCACAACCCGCUGAUCCUUUCCCUGGUCUGCUUGCAAAGACCAAAUCGGUGCUGAACCCACCGAUUACGCUGGUCAGUGUGAUAUACACAGUGGCAUUACCCAUGACACUGGCCCUCCGUGCCUACAAUAUGUCCACACUCAAUGCCCGACCCCAAGAUACUAUCACCCAUCAGCUUGUCCCUGGUCCAGAUAAGUGGGUGACAGAUGAUCUUCUUGGCAUGUCUGUGACAUGUGCCUGGUUCGCACCUAUUCUGCUACUGCACUUCUACAUCAUCACGCACCUGGUGUUGAAGAGGCCUGUGGGCAUCCCCACAAUGGAGAAGGCAUACGCAUGGGUUGCCCCAACCGUGAUUACAUUGAUCACCUUUGCUUACUUCCUCUCCUAUCUGAGCCUCUCAAGGUAUGGUGUUCGUCCAAGAGAAUUGGGCGUGCUGGGAGUUGUUACAACUAUACUUCUGUGUGGCAGUGUUUCAAUAAUCUUUUGUCGUCCGAUGAAGGAGGAGCGAGUUGUGGUUCUACAGAGGGCCCGUGUAUGAGGCAUUGAAGCUCGCUUGUUAAGCGCAUGCGGAAUCAUGAGGACAUCCCUACCUCACUACUACCUCCAUCAUUACAAAAGAUGAUCUUGCUGUGAAGCUCAAGUCCGAUGAAGUCAGGAUUGGACCAAUGACACGAGCUCGUGCGAAGCUACUUAAACAACAGGUAAAUUUGUUCCUAAAUGAUACUUUGAUUGAUGAGAACUUUAUACUACCUAAGUGCUAUUACUUAUGUAUGAUCAGGUAUGAGGAGGGAGCAAGCAUCGCACGAGGAGGAGAGGAGCAGUUGGACCAGAAGAUGGACGUGAAGCUGGACAUGGAGCUGAACAUGAAGACAUCUCAUGGACGCGCGAGGGAGGAGCGGGAGGCAUGCGCGAGAGGGGAAGUUGAAGUUCAGGCCGGUGCUAGAUCCGAUCCAAUCGGUCGUGCCGCCGGACCAGCCGGUCCCAGGCCCGGUCCGACCGGAUCCAGCGUCGGGUCAGUCCGGUUUCAACCGGCCGCGGUGCUUGUGCCAACCGGGCACUAUCCACUAAGCCCGGGAGCCUCGUUCGGUCAACACACGGCGCUAGGUCCGGUUUGAACCGGACCGGCCGGUCCCAGACCCGGUCGACCGGCCGCCAAACUGGCCGAUUCCGAGUCUGUCUCGACCAGAUCUAUUCUGGGUCGAUUAUUUUCGUACUUUUUCGACCUGAGAUCGUCGUGGACGCCUAUAUAAGUCCAUAGGACGCCCCCAAAGUUGCUAGAGACCACGUUUAAGAUAAACCUUAGUUUUUAGUUGUUUGCUAUGCAAAACUAUUGAAUCCAUACACCAUAUUGCUUGAUAUUGUGUAGAUCU